RNAcentral lists this signal recognition particle RNA (312 nucleotides) under Halomicrobium zhouii. RNAcentral describes it as "Archaeal signal recognition particle RNA". It matches the Rfam family "Archaeal signal recognition particle RNA". Lineage: Archaea; Methanobacteriati; Methanobacteriota; Halobacteria; Halobacteriales; Haloarculaceae. The record is from Rfam by way of RNAcentral.
AGGUGGACUAGGUCGGGGGGUUAGGCCCCCCUCCCUCGCCCGCACUAUGGUCUUGAGCGGGGACCGAACCCGGGGGCGUCCGGUCUGCCGGGCGUGGACCCUGUGAGCCAACAGAGAAGCCUCGUCCGCCGGGGCCGACGGUCCGCGGGAGUACGCCUGCAGGGGCGUCCUGCCGCGGUUUACCGAGGGCAGUUCGUCAGGCGCGGAAGCGAGCAGCGAACCCUCGGACACUCGGCGCUCGUCGGAUCGCGGGGUGGAGGAGGCGAACGGGACUACCCACGUCCGAACGCCGGGCAAUCCCGGCGUCCGCCA